Molecule: transfer RNA, 67 nt
Filed under: Aelia fieberi
Lineage: Eukaryota; Metazoa; Arthropoda; Insecta; Hemiptera; Pentatomidae
Description: tRNA-Asn
Source: RNAcentral
UUAAUUGAAGCCAAAGUUUGAGGCCUUUCAUUGUUAAUGAAAUAAUUGAUAUUUAUAUCCAAUUAAA